RNAcentral lists this ribosomal RNA (460 nucleotides) under uncultured bacterium. Its description in RNAcentral is "partial 16S ribosomal RNA". It matches the Rfam family "Bacterial small subunit ribosomal RNA", at positions 338 to 795 of the family's 1533-position model. The record is from RNAcentral.
CCUACGGGAGGCAGCAGUGAGGAAUAUUGGUCAAUGGACGAGAGUCUGAACCAGCCAAGUAGCGUGAAGGAUGACUGCCCUAUGGGUUGUAAACUUCUUUUAUAUGGGAAUCAAACGUUCCACGUGUGGGAUUUUGUAUGUACCAUAUGAAUAAGGAUCGGCUAACUCCGUGCCAGCAGCCGCGGUAAUACGGAGGAUCCGAGCGUUAUCCGGAUUUAUUGGGUUUAAAGGGAGCGUAGGUGGAUUGUUAAGUCAGUUGUGAAAGUUUGCGGCUCAACCGUAAAAUUGCAGUUGAAACUGGCAGUCUUGAGUACAGUAGAGGUGGGCGGAAUUCGUGGUGUAGCGGUGAAAUGCUUAGAUAUCACGAAGAACUCCGAUUGCGAAGGCAGUUCACUGGACUGCAACUGACACUGAGGCUCGAAAGUGUGGGUAUCAAACAGGAUUAGAUACCCUUGUAGUC